UUAUUUGUUCACAUGUCAAUACUGGUUGACAAUAACAUUAAACAACAACAAUGGACGUUAACAUGAAAAAUAAUCUCAACAAGGCCAUUAUAUACUAUACUUAAAGUUGAAACACAAAUUUCAUCAUUAACGACAACAAAGAACAAAUGAUUCAGUAAAUGCUUGAAGUAUUUCAGGUUUUUAAAUAGAAUAAUUAUGGGUAUACUGUGGAUUCAUUAUUAUUCGUUGGAUACCAACUUUCGUGGUUUUAGUGGGUACAGGUUAACAACGAAUUUAAAUAUUCAAGAAAUUACAAAUUUUAUAUCAGGUAGUAUGCAGAUUUUGGCAAAACCAAGAAAUCAAAUAACCACAAAAAUUGAUGUGAUUACUGGUACAGGGAAUUC
This 383-nucleotide long non-coding RNA is filed under the name Mytilus galloprovincialis (Mediterranean mussel). The record is from RNAcentral. Lineage: Eukaryota; Metazoa; Mollusca; Bivalvia; Mytilida; Mytilidae.